Molecule: unclassified non-coding RNA, 213 nt
Filed under: soil metagenome
Description: partial contains small subunit ribosomal RNA, internal transcribed spacer 1, and 5.8S ribosomal RNA
Source: RNAcentral
UCUCCGUUGGUGAACCAGCGGAGGGAUCAUUACAGAGUUUUAUAUGCUCAGACCCGACGCGAACCUGAAACUGUUGCUUCGGCGGGCUGCCGGCUCUUGCCGCGCCCGCCAAAGGUCUACAUUAGGCUCUUUAGCUGGGGUGUAUUCCCCAUACUGUCCUCUGAAUCGCUUCCAAACUAGUCAAAACUUUCAACAACGGAUCUCUUGGUUCUG